Molecule: ribosomal RNA, 235 nt
Filed under: uncultured Actinomycetales bacterium
Lineage: Bacteria; Bacillati; Actinomycetota; Actinomycetes; Actinomycetales
Description: partial 16S ribosomal RNA
Rfam family: Bacterial small subunit ribosomal RNA
Source: RNAcentral
UGGCGAACGGGUGAGUAACACGUGGGUGAUCUGCCCUGCACUCUGGGAUAAGCCUGGGAAACUGGGUCUAAUACCAGAUAGGACCAUGCUUUAGUGUGUGUGGUGGAAAGUUUUUUCGGUGUAGGAUGAGCCCGCGGCCUAUCAGCUUGUUGGUGGGGUAAUGGCCUACCAAGGCGGCGACGGGUAGCCGGACUGAGAGGUUGGUCGGCCACAUUGGGACUGAGAUACGGCCCAG